This 253-nucleotide ribosomal RNA is filed under the name uncultured bacterium. RNAcentral's name for it is "partial 16S ribosomal RNA". It matches the Rfam family "Bacterial small subunit ribosomal RNA", at positions 524 to 776 of the family's 1533-position model. The record is from RNAcentral.
UACGUAGGGGGCUAGCGUUGUCCGGAAUCAUUGGGCGUAAAGAGCGUGUAGGCGGCCCGGUAAGUCCGCUGUAAAAGUCAAAGGCUCAACCUUUGAAUGUCAGUGGAUACUGCCGGGCUAGAGUCCGGAAGAGGCGAGUGGAACUCCUGGUGUAGCGGUGGAAUGCGCAGAUAUCAGGAAGAACACCAACGGCGAAGGCAGCUCGCUGGGACGGUACUGACGCUGAGACGCGAAGGCGUGGGGAGCGAACGGG